This 494-nucleotide ribosomal RNA is filed under the name uncultured bacterium. RNAcentral describes it as "partial 16S ribosomal RNA". It matches the Rfam family "Bacterial small subunit ribosomal RNA", at positions 28 to 507 of the family's 1533-position model. The record is from RNAcentral.
GACGAACGCUGGCGGCGUGCUUAACACAUGCAAGUCGAACGGAAAGGCCUGCUUUCCCUUGUGGAUUGCGGGUACUCGAGUGGCGAACGGGUGAGUAACACGUGAGUGAUCUGCCCCCAACUUGGGUAUAAGCCUGGGAAACUGGGUCUAAUUCCCGAUAGGACUGCAGGGUGGUGCCUGUGGUGGAAAACGAUUUUCUAGUGGUUGGGGAUGAGCUCGCGGCCGAUCAGCUUGUUGGUGGGGUAAUGGCCUACCAAGGCGGCGACGGGUAGCCGGCCUGAGAGGGUGGACGGCCACAUUGGGACUGAGAUACGGCCCAGACUCCUACGGGAGGCAGCAGUGGGGAAUAUUGCACAAUGGGCGGAAGCCUGAUGCAGCGACGCCGCGUGGGGGAUGACGGCCUUCGGGUUGUAAACUCCUUUCGACCGCGAGGAAGCCACCUGGUUGGAAGGGUGGUGACGGUAGUGGUAGAAGAAGCACCGGCUAACUACGUG